GUAAAUAUAGUUUAUUCUAAAACUUUAAACUGUGAAUUUAACAAUAAGAGCUUAACCUCUUUAUUUACC
Molecule: transfer RNA, 69 nt
Filed under: Wiedomys cerradensis (cerrado red-nosed mouse)
Lineage: Eukaryota; Metazoa; Chordata; Mammalia; Rodentia; Cricetidae
Description: tRNA-His
Rfam family: tRNA
About the family: Transfer RNA (tRNA) molecules are approximately 80 nucleotides in length. Their secondary structure includes four short double-helical elements and three loops (D, anti-codon, and T loops).
Source: RNAcentral